RNAcentral lists this long non-coding RNA (7898 nucleotides) under Nicotiana benthamiana. RNAcentral's name for it is "long non-coding RNA (NBEN_LNC007295)". Lineage: Eukaryota; Viridiplantae; Streptophyta; Magnoliopsida; Solanales; Solanaceae. The record is from RNAcentral.
GCAACUGGACAAUUUUGGAUAGGAGAUUCUGCCGGCGACAACGAACAGAACCGACAAUCGGAAACCAACUCGAACUAGCACUGAGCUUCGAACAGAUAGCGAUGACCUCGACGGCUCGAUGACUGGAAACCUCUCACGUUCUGUCACUAUUUCGGCUAUAUUUCCGGCCACUCAUGGUAGCAACAGAUGUGAGAGGGUGGAACGGUAGUUGUGUGUGUGCGCGCUUUCAAUGGCAGGUCAUCAGAGUUACGAGAUGAGGAAGAAGUAGCUUCUAGUCUGUUCAAGUUCGGUUGUCCUCUCUAUUUUUCCUAGGGUUCGCCACUUGUUUCCAUGAAGAAGAAGAUGGUAUAUGCUUCUCUUACAAAUAAAAUAGUGGAAGAACAAAACGUAUUCCAUCUGACAAUUUUCACCAAGUGGUCAUUUUCCUUUCAAUGAAAUAUUCUCACCUAAUCACUAACCCAUAAAAUUGCUAAUGGAAUAUGUCUUUAACAUGACUUCCGCCUAUAUUGACUAUAUUAAUAGUCACCACUUUUAUAAAGGUGUCGGCCACAUGGUGUAUUAUCCCAACUAUAUUUAAUAUUUACUGAUUUACCCCGCGUAACUGUGAAUUAUCUCAAAUUAAUUCAAAUAAUACACAUUCUUUCACAAUCCUUUUUCUUUAACAUAGUGAUGCACUUUUAAUCACUACCCCUAAACACGGUGUGUUUUCAACUAGACUCACUCAAGUGAGUGUCACAUGAUUGAAAAUUUAAUUAUUAUUCAAAGAUUGUCCGACUCACAAUUUCAAAAUGCAAUUUUUUCGUGAUUUUCACAUUAUUCACACUUAAAACUUUCCGACUACACGCCUGGUCUGCGCACGCAAAUCGAUCGCAAUUAAAAGUGAGGUUUUCAAGGCCUCGAAAGCUUGAAAUGACCAAGAAAACAAGUAAUGACCCUUUGGGCCGUCACAUUCUCCACCUCUAAAACAACCGUUCGUCCUCAAACGGAUAAAAGAAAGAAGAACCUGAAUCAGGGAAUAGAUGAGGAUAACGGCUCCGCAUGUCAGGCUCGGACUCCCAGGUCGAUGCCUCGGGAGGCUGACCUCUCCACUGAACACGCACAGAAGGAAAGAUUUUUGAUCUCAACUGUCGAACCUGUCGGUCUAAAAUAGCUACCGGUUCCUCUUCAUAAGAUAGAUUCUUGUCCAAUUGGACAUUGCUGAAAUCUAACACGUGCGAUGGAUCGCCGUGAUAUUUCCGAAGCAUGGAUAUGUGAAACAGUGGAUACACAGCUGACAAAUUACAUGGCAAAGCAAGUUUAUAAGCCACCUCUCCCACACGAUCAAGAAUCGCAAACGGGCUAAUAAACCUAGGGCUAGGUUUGCCCUUCUUCCCAAAUCAUAUAACGCCCUUCAUAAGUGAUACACGGAGCAAUACCUGAUCAAUGACCGUAAAUGCUAAAUCCCUAACCUUGCGGUCUGCAUAACUUCUGGACUGAGCUGCACGAAGCCUAUACUGAAUAAUCUUGACCUUAUCUAAGGCCUUUUGUACUAAAUCUGUACCCAACAAUCGAGUCUCUCCUGGUUCAAACCAUCCAACCGGAGAACAACACCGCCUGCCAUACAAGGCUUCAUAAAGAGCCAUCUGAGUGCUCGAUUGAUAGAUAUUAUUAUAAGCAAACUCCGCCAAAGGCAGGAAAUGAUCCCACGAACCUCUAAAAUCAAUAACACAGGCUUGGAGCAUAUCUUCUAAAAUUUGAAUAGUCCUCUCAGACUGACCGUCCGUCUGGGGAUGAAAAGUUGUACUCAGUUGAACCUGGGUGCUCAACUCUUUCUAAAACGCCUUCCAAAAAUACGAGGUAAACUGCAAACCUCGAUCCAAAAUGAUAGAUAUAGGCACCCCAUGAAGGCGAACAAUCUCCACGAUAUAAAUCCUUGCUAAUCUCUCGGAUGAAUAGGUGGUGGCAACAGGAAAAAAAUAUGCUGACUUGGUCAGUCUAUCCACAAUAACCCAAACCGCAUCAAACUUCUUCUGAGUCAUCGGAAAGCCAGUAACAAAGUCCAUACUGAUCCGCUCUCACUUCCACUCGGGAAGCUCAAUUUUCUGAAAUAGCCCACUGGGCCUCUGAUGCUCAUAUUUAACCUGUUAACGGUUCAAACACCGUGCUACAUAUGCCACAAUAUCCUUUUUCAUUAUACGCCACCAAUAAUAUUGCCGCAAAUCCUGAUACAUCUUUGUUGCGCCUGGAUGAAUAGAAUACCGGGAACUGUGAGCUUCCUCUAAAAUUAAUUCUCGAAGCCCAUCAACAUUUAGCACACAAAUUUGUCCAUGUAAUAUCGAAAGUCCAUGAGCAUCUAAGGUGACCUUCUUGGAACCUCCUCGCUAAACCGUGUCUUUUAGAACACAUAAAUGGCGAUCAUCAACUGCCGGUCGCGGAUAUGCUCAAAUAAUGAAGAACGAGCGACCGUGCAAGCUAAUACUCAACUAGGCUCAAAAAUAUUCAAUCUCACAAAUCGAUUGUCUAAGGCCUGAACAUCCAUAUCAAGCGGCCUCUAACCCCGACCAGAAUAUAAGCAAGACUGCCAUACUGGCUGACUUCCUGCUCAAAGCAUCGACAUCACAUUUAUUUUCCCCUGGUGAUAUAAAAAGGUGAUGUCAUAAUCCUUCAACAAUUUCAUCCAUCUUUUCUGCCUCAAAUUCAACUCCUUCUGUAUAAACAGAUAUUGAAGGUUCUUAUGAUCAGUGAAUACUUCACAUGCCACACCAUACAAAUAAUGCCUCCAAAUCUUUAACGCGUGAACACUCGGCACCAACUACAGGUCUUUAACUGAAUAGUUCUUUUCAUGAAUCUUCAUUUGCCUCGAAGCAUAGGCAAUAACAUUUCCAUCCGGUAUCAACAGUGCAUCAAGCCCAAUACGGGAAGCAUCACACUAGAUUGUAUAAGGUCCCGACCUGUGGGCAAAAACCAACACCGGUGUUGUGGUCAAGGCUAUCUUGAGCUUCUGAAAGCUCACCUCACACUCAUCCAACCAUUCGAACUGGAUACCUUUCUGGUUCAAUCUGGUCAACGGGGUGGCAAUAGAUGAAAACCCCUACACAAAUCACCGAUAAUAACCUGCUAAUCCCAAGAAACUCCGGAUUUCUAUGGCUGAUAUUGGUCUAGGACAGUUCUUGACUGCCUCAAUCUUCCUUAGAUCAACCUGAAUAUCUUCUGCCGUCACAACAUGACCUAGGAAUGCAACUGAACUUAACUAGAUCUUACACUUUGGAAUUUGCAUAUAGUUGACUAUUUUCAGAGUCUAAAGAGCCACUCUAAGAUGAUGUGCAUGCUCCUCCUGACUGCGGGACUAUAUCAAUAUAUCAUCAAUGAAGACUAUCACGAGCAAGUCUAAAUAAGCCAUGCACACUCGGUUCAUCAAAUCCAUAAGAGCUGCUGGGGCAUUUGUCAGCCCAAAAGACAUGGCCAGGAACUCAUAAUGAAACUUAUCUCUUUAUUGGCGCAUCUCAAUUUUCCAAAUUCUCCUAACUCCCACUUUAUCAGAAAUUUCGACAGAGUCUCCUCUAUAAUUGGGCCUAUCCACCUGUCAGAGUGAUACCCAAAUCAACUCCUAGCAAUAUUUUCACAACCCGACAACAUACCUUAAAGAAUACAUCAAAACAUAAAUGACUAAAUAUGAUUAGAAGUUAUUCAAGAAUUAUCAAAUAAUCCUAACGGGUAUUACUCCCAUUUAAAAUAUAAUACAAGAUUUUUAUUUUAUAAAAGAAAAAUUUUUAACCCAAAAACUUUUCACCAGGACCUUGUCCUUAUAUAACAUACACCGCAGCUUCUGGCUUGGUUCAAAAUAUUUUACAUUAUAUAAAAAUUUGAGAAUCUCAUCCUCAACUCUAAAUCACAAGUAUUUGCACAUUAUACUAACUGAAAUCUUUCAUUUCCGUUCUUUCUUCUUCUCAAUAAUUUUUGUCAAAUAAAAUCACAACAUAAAAUGAACCCUCAUGCCGAUAGGGCAUAUAAUUGACAAUUGAAAUUAAUUAUCCAGAAGUUACAUCAAAACCACUGUAGUAAGUAAUAUAAAGUCACUUUUGGCCUCAUAGCUAUUCUAACACAUAAUAAUAGGGAUAGCUAUUUUCAUAUAAUAGCCCAACGUAAGUAUUCAUAUAAGUAGAUUUGAUGAUUACGAAGUUCACUCAUGAGUGGAGAAUAAUAAGAGGACUCGCCUCAAUUUUUCAAAACCAAAUCAAAUUAAGGUGAAUAUCCUUUUAUAACCAUCGGAAUUGUGCAUGUGAUGACACUAUCUGGUGUAGUGACCUCAGUCAUACCAUAGAAAUUAUAUCAAUGGCUGAGUCUCCACCUCUAGGAGCCCCACCUCCAUCUUUAACCUCCUGAUCCGUACCUUUGGCUGGUCAUGUAAGUUGAGUAUUGACUGCAAUGGGGCACGUAGCCUUAGCGCUUUCAUAAAUCAUAUUUCUCCAAUCUACCACAUUCACAACAAUUCCUUUGAGGCUCAACUAACUUAUUGUACCUGAUGACAUAUUCGGACAUUGUCAUGGUGACCUGGCACAAUCGUGCAGAUCGCAUAUACUACAUAUUGCUAAAAAUUCGGGAGAUAAACUCCUUCAAGACAUAUCUUAAAAUAGAGUUGAGUAGGUAGUGUCGCAUUGUCCAGUCUGCCCUCCUCGUAGGCUUGUCACAAACACCGACGACCAAUUUCCUCUUUUUCCAUGCUGGCUUGACACUGAUGAGCUACCCCUUUGUUCGUAUACUCUUCAUUAUUCCUUGGGGGCGAUCCUUACCCCCUGCAAGGUACCAAACCUUAAACAUGUAUAAUUAUUUGGGGAAUAUAUAUAUAUAUAUAUAUAUAUAUAUAUAUAUAUAUACCAAGCCAAAACUGACAUUACACAUGGCCAUCUGGUCCAUUCACUAAUAGUGGAAUUCCCACUUUUUGGCUCUAAGUCAAAGUUACAACAUUCGGCAAUCCACAAUAUUUUUCCUCCACAACUCAAAUAAAUUAACCAUACAUCAAGGUCCGUUGAACCCUUGUAUGAUUCAUUAGGUGAUUUCUUGAUACAUCUGCAUCUUUCGUUGGAACCACAAUUAGUCUGGUAAAUACAUUAUCUUUCCACUAUUUCUAUUUGUCAUCCGAAGCACAGUAAAAUUAACCCCCUCGCUUUCGACUAUUCCCACGUUCUGCAAUACCUCAUAGCAGCGGUCAAGAAACUCCCGUGGGUUCUUAAAAGAUGCAUCGCUGAAGGUGGUAGCGAAGAGUUUGGUAAAACAUAUCUGACCUCCGCAAAACCUCUGAAGGUGUCGUGGUUCUAUCACCAGCACGUGCUAUUGUUCGGCUGAAGAAGUGGUACGUGACUUCGCCAUUCGUGGGAAGACAAGAGUAGAAAUUCAAUUAGCUUUUGAAGAACAAUUUCGACAGGAAAGAAUGAAGGUGAAAUUUUCCUAAUUCUGUAGCCUCUAGGGGAUGAAUACAGACGUCUCCUUACCGAUACCUCAGACUCUACAAAGGUUGCUCGUGAGUUGUGAGACCUAUGUAACCUAGUGCUCCGAUGCCAACUGUCACGGCCCGAAAUUUCCCACCAUCGGGAGUCGUGUGCCUACUAAUAGGAGCUAGGCAAGCCAACUCUUACUUGUAUUUCGAUUUUUAACAAUACUUAUUUAAAGCUAUUAUCAACAAUAUUAAAAUUUCAGCGGAGUAAUUAAAUUUAGCGGAAGACUUAGUAAGUUUUACUAGAUGCAAUACUAAAAUUCCAACAUAAACACUACCCAAGAACUAGUGUCACAAUGCUCACAAACUUCUAUGAAUACUAAACACAACCGUUUGAAAGAAAUAUAAAACUGGUUUUCUCGAAUACAUCAGAUAACAGAUUGAUAAUAAAGAUAGAAGAGACAUCGGGUCCUGAGGACGCCUGCAAGGCUACCUCGGUGUCUCGAUGAUCAGAAUGCAAACAACCGUACUACUGCUACUAUUGUUGCCAGUAACCUGUAUCUGUGCAAAAAGAGCGCAUAUUAUAGAAUUAACACAACCGACGCCAUGUGCUGGUAAGUGUCUGGCCUAUCCCGGCGAAGUAGUGAUAAGGCUAUAACCAGACACUCACAUAAACAUAUACAGUUCAAAAUAUAUAUACAACAAAAAUACCAGGAAGAAACAUUAAGUAUUUGGGAAGGGAAACAUGCUCUGGGGUAGUGGCAAAAUAUAAUGUCAGAAAUAGAAUAAUGGAAUUUAAUUCACUUUCAAGUUCAACUCAUCUUGUUGCAGGCAUGCAACCCGUUUUCAUCACAAUAAAAUUUGUAGUAGACGUACCAUUGGAUAUCAUUUGAAUAUAUUAUAUAAGGGAUUGACCCAAUUUAUUAUGUAUAUUGUGGACGGCGUUCCACACGAUCCCAUUUCAAUAUAUAAGUGGUCGGCGUGCCACACGAUCCUAUUUCAAUAUAUAAGUAGUCGGCUUGCAACACGAUCCCAUUUCAAUAAAUAUGUGGUCGGCAUGCCACACAAUCCCAUUUUAAUAUAUAAGUGGUCGGCGUGCCACACAAUCCCAUUUCACUUUUAACAUAGUUCCAAAAAAUAUAUUAUUGGCAAGAGAAAACAAUAACUCGGUGCCAAGGCUCAAAAAUGAAUCUUUGUCUUUUAUUCACUUCUUACUCAAUUAUCAUGUCAUUGUUCGUGCCCACGCUCGAGGAAUUCACAAUUUAUAAUUUGCUUUUCACACUUAUCACAUAAUUUAGAAAUCAACAAUUAGGUGUGGAUGAGUUACGCCAAUAUCAAAUAAUCACAUGUAAAGACUCAUGGUCAUACUAGACCUCCAACGUAUAGAUACUCGUCACCAUGCCUAUACGUCGGACUGCACACAUAGCAAUCAACAAAUAGACUUAACUCUUAUUUCCUCAAGCUAGGAUAGAUCAAACACUUACCUCGAAGAUUUAUGGCUAACUCAAUCCUUAAGCAAUGCCUUUCCUAUCAAAUUUGUCUCCAAAUACUUCAAAUCUCAAUAUAGCCGGAAAAUUGAUUGUUUCUCUAUUCUGAACUCAAAAAUUCAACGAAUAUACUACUUGAGAAGCAACCUUCACAGCUGCAGAGAAAUUCCAUGUCAACACCUUCUUCCGUGCACCAAAAGGUGGAUUCAUCACAACCAUCUCAAAAACUUGACUUUUCCAUUUUUAGUUUCUAAUUCACAUUGAACAAAAUCCAUGUCUAAAUCAAGUUCAUCAGCGUUUGCAUAUGCAAUCACAAUAUUCCAACUUGGAUUUGUGUGCAUCCAUGUUUAUCAUAGCUUUGAAACCUUUUAGAAAACCUUUGAAUUAAAUGAAUUGAGUUGUAAAUACAAGCUUAGUAAGCAACUGGACAAUUUUGGAUAGGAGAUUCUGCCGGCGACAACGAACAGAACCGACAAUCGGAAACCAACUCGAACUAGCACUGAGCUUCGAACAGAUAGCGAUGACCUCGACGGCUCGAUGACUGGAAACCUCUCUUCUAAAUACAAGCUUAAUAAGCAACUGGACAAUUUUGGAUAAGAGAUUCUGCCGGCGACAACAAACAGAACCGACGACCGAAAACCAACUCAAACUAGCACUGAGCUUCAAACAGAUAGCGACGACCUCGAUGGCUCGAUGACUGGAAACAUCUCAAGUUCUGUCACUAUUUCUGCUAUAUUUCCGACCAAUCAUGGUAGCAUAGCUGCUGUCUGUUCAAGUUCGGCUGUCCUUUCUAUUUUUCCUAGGGUUCGCUACUUGUUUCCAUGAAGAAGAAGAUGGUCUAUGCUUCUCUUUUAAACAGAAUAGUGGAAGAAAAAAACGUAUUCCAUCUGAUAAUGUCCACCAAGUGAUCAUUUUCCUUUCUAUGAAAUUCUCACCUAAUCAUCAACUUAUAAAAUUGCUAGUGAAAUGUGUCUUUAAUAUGGGUUCCACCUAUAUUGACU